AUGUCGCGCGUGCAGCAGGUGGCGACGCGGUCGGGGCGCGCGCAGGAGUCGAUGCGCGUGGUGGCGGUGAGCAAGACGAAGCCCGUGGGCGUCAUCUGCGGCGUGUACGACGCUGACCACCGCUGCUUCGGCGAGAACUACGUACAGGAGCUCAUCGGCAAGGCCCCCCAGCAUUUUCCCUUGAUUAUGUUCAGAAGAUGCCAGACGGCGGUAGUGGUUUGCCAAAUUACAGUUCCUGGCAAGUACAUAGGUCUGGAUUUGGUGACUUCGGCUCACAUGUCAACAGACCUUCCCUUCUUCCCGUCGCCGCCGUCCCCAACCCACCCACGCACGGUUGCUCGACGCCACCUUGGCGGUGUUCUUCGACACUUGGGGGCAAUGGAGUAG
Molecule: ribosomal RNA, 387 nt
Filed under: Triticum aestivum (bread wheat)
Lineage: Eukaryota; Viridiplantae; Streptophyta; Magnoliopsida; Poales; Poaceae
Description: partial small subunit ribosomal RNA
Source: RNAcentral